GUGUCAUUAACACUACGUUUAAUGCAUUUAAACAUUCCCCACGCUCGUUGCAGACAGUCUCACUUCUUAACAGCUGUUGUAUUUAUUUUUAUUUUUUGUGAAUACAUUUAGUAAAAGUAUUUUUGCUUCCACUGACAGACACUGAGGGGGUCACGGUGGCUUAGUGGUUAGCACGUUCGCCUCACACCUCCAGGGUUGGGGGUUCGAUUCCCGCCUCCACCUUGUGUGUGUGGAGUUUGCAUGUUCUCCCUGUGCCUCGGGGGUUUCCUCCGGGUACUCCGGUUUCCUCCCCCGGUCCAAAGACAUGCAUGGUAGGUUGAUUGGCAUCUCUGGAAAAUUGUCCGUAGUGUGUGAUUGCAUGAGUGAAUGAGAGUGUGUGUGUGUGUGCCCUGCGAUGGGUUGGCACUCCGUCCAGGGUGUAUCCUGCCUUGAUGCCCGAUGAUGCCCGAGAUAGGCACAGGCUCCCCGUGACCCGAGGUAGUUCGGAUAAGCGGUAGAAGAUGAAUGAAUGAAUGACAGACAACGGAUGUAGCUAGAGACGAGCCGGAGAGAUCAGAAGAAAAGCAGCAGGCUGCUGUCUCCAAGUCUCGAAGGCAAGUCAAUACCACAGAUGGACAUAAGUGUCCCAUUUGUGGUCAAAUGUAUACUGGUAUUACCCAGCACCUGAAGUUCACCGAAGGGGUUACGAAUAGGAUCGAACUGGAUCUUUUGGGCAAACUUGCUCACCGACGCUUUACUGCCAAUUUGGACUGCCCGGUCCGUUUGUGUAACGCUAAACACAUGACCAGACUAGACAAGCACCUGCAAAAUAUCCACAAACUUGAGCAAAGCUCCCAAUGAGCAUGCCAUCUCAGAUAUGCCUUCUCCCUUUGGAAGCAAACCUAACCAAUUGGCUAGGAUCCAAAGAAAACGUGCUCUGCUGAGGACACCUUCACCUGGCUGCAGGAACUGCCAUCUUUUGUUUGCUGAACUUAAAGUGGUCAAGCAGCUGCUCCAGUGUGAAGUUGAAAGAAAUCAUGAGCUCAGGCAUCUACAUGCUUCAGCAAAUCAGGCAAAUCUAGUUAAAUAUAAACGAAGAAAAAGCUUUUCGCCCAGUAAAGCCCCUCAGUAUGUAAGACUAGUUGAAGAGUUUAGGGGCCCAUAUACGAGGUGUGAAUCCAAGCAGGAAAAUACAAGAAAAUGCCAAGCAGCGAGCCACUCAUGUGAUCCAUUUUCUGGAAUUUAUGGCAGACUCUAGAAUUCCAAAUGUCGAUCUACUUUUCCUGAAAAACCAUAGUAGAGUCCGCAAUUUUGUGGCACACCUCCAAGAGAAAGGCUUUAAACCAACAUCUCAGAGACUGUACUUGAUGGAUGUUGUGGCUUUCCUUAAAUACAUUUUAAACAUGUCACUCUGCAUUUUUUCAAAUUUGGAUCUAAAUAUUGUCUUUUUUUCUGUAAACAGUUGGUAAGCAUGUCUUCUGAAUGUAACACAGGCAGAUUCUGAAGAGAAGACGGAGCAUAGAAACUACCAACUGCGCAAGAAAAAUAAAUCUGUGCAGUCAAAGCAAGAAACACCAGUGAGCUCCACUGGAGAUGAAGAGUCGGAUGAAUGGAAACCCACUCAGGACUCUUCGGAGGAUGAUUCAGAAGUGUCUGAGGAGAGAGACAAGAAAGUGUUAUUAGCCCCUUUCUUCAAAGACAGAAACAGAUUGAGAUCUCAUCUGAAUGCAACAAUUUAGAAGAGAUAGAGAAGAAACCAAUACGGAGGAUAACAAAUGUGGCCAAAAAAAAAAAAAGAGUGAAAAGGUUGGUGAGCUCAAGUAAAGAGGCUGUGUCAGGUGUUGGGAAAUCCACAUCGGCGUAUCCAGUGUGACUCAGGAGAGGAGAAAUGGUUAGGAAGGAGGCAGAGAACAGCCCUGUUCAGCAAAGGGAGGUGAGUUUUUAUAAGUCGAAGUGAGUCAUUUUGAAUACGUCAGUAAAAGAAAGCCUGCAAAUUAGGCGUUACAGUCC
Tachysurus vachellii is the source of this 1989-nucleotide long non-coding RNA. RefSeq lists it as uncharacterized. The transcript is spliced from 9 exons. The record is from RefSeq and is a predicted model, not a curated record. NCBI's taxonomy places the organism in Eukaryota, Metazoa, Chordata, Actinopteri, Siluriformes, Bagridae.